This 171-nucleotide ribosomal RNA is filed under the name Triticum aestivum (bread wheat). RNAcentral describes it as "partial small subunit ribosomal RNA". The record is from RNAcentral. Lineage: Eukaryota; Viridiplantae; Streptophyta; Magnoliopsida; Poales; Poaceae.
AUGUGUGUACCAAAACAACAAGGAGGUGUGGGUUUUAGAGAUAUCCAUUGUUUCAAUCUUGCUCUUUUGGCUAAACAGGCUCGGAGGCUUACUGAGAACCCAGACUCCAUGUGUGAACGUACUUUGACAGUGAAGUAUUUUCCGGAUGGUGAUCUAUUUGUCGGUGUCUAA